GUGGGAGCGAGCUUGCUCGCGAAGGCAGUGUGUCAGUCAGAGUUGAAUUGACUGAUGCUCCCCAUUCGCGAGCAAGCUCGCUCCCAC
This 87-nucleotide non-coding RNA is filed under the name Pseudomonas sp. 29. The record is from RNAcentral. Lineage: Bacteria; Pseudomonadati; Pseudomonadota; Gammaproteobacteria; Pseudomonadales; Pseudomonadaceae.